This 487-nucleotide ribosomal RNA is filed under the name uncultured bacterium. RNAcentral's name for it is "bacterial SSU rRNA". It matches the Rfam family "Bacterial small subunit ribosomal RNA", at positions 28 to 530 of the family's 1533-position model. The record is from RNAcentral.
GAUGAACGCUGGCGGCGUGCCUAACACAUGCAAGUCGAACGGAGCUGUCGGAGCUUGCUUUGACAGCUUAGUGGCGAACGGGUGAGUAACGCGUGAGCAACCUGCCCUUGAGAGGGGGAUAACAUCGGGAAACCGAUGCUAAUACCGCAUAAAAUAUGCAGAUGGCAUCAUUGGCAUAUCAAAGGAGAAAUCCGCUCAAGGAUGGGCUCGCGUCUGAUUAGAUAGUUGGUGAGGUAACGGCCCACCAAGUCGACGAUCAGUAGCCGGACUGAGAGGUUGACCGGCCACAUUGGGACUGAGACACGGCCCAGACUCCUACGGGAGGCAGCAGUGGGGAAUAUUGGGCAAUGGGGGGAACCCUGACCCAGCAACGCCGCGUGAAGGAGAAGGCCUCGGUUGUAACUCUUGUACAGGGAAGAAGGAAGUGACGGUACCCUGAGAACAAGCUCCGGCUACUACGUGCCAGCAGCCGCGGUAAUCAUACUCG